UACGUAGGGGGCAAGCGUUGUCCGGAAUUAUUGGGCGUAAAGAGCGCGUAGGCGGUCCGAUAAGUCGGCUGUGAAAGUCAGGGGCUCAACCCUGGAAAGCCGGUGGAUACUGUCGGGCUAGAGUCCGGAAGAGGCGAGUGGAAUUCCUGGUGUAGCGGUGGAAUGCGCAGAUAUCAGGAGGAACACCGAUGGCGAAGGCAGCUCGCUGGGACGGUACUGACGCUGAGGCGCGAAAGCGUGGGGAGCGAACAGG
RNAcentral lists this ribosomal RNA (253 nucleotides) under uncultured bacterium. RNAcentral's name for it is "partial 16S ribosomal RNA". It matches the Rfam family "Bacterial small subunit ribosomal RNA", at positions 524 to 776 of the family's 1533-position model. The record is from RNAcentral.